AGUCAGCAUGGGAGGUCGUCUGAACCCGCUAGACAGAGCUCAGGACCGUGGCCAAAUGGCUCGAGGUUUUGGGCGCUCGGCGAGGAAGAAAGCUCGGAUGAGGAAGCAGUUCUAGGGGAGCAAAAGGAAGUAGCUAGGAGAGGGGUUAAAGCCAAGGAGGAUCAAGGGGAUGAAGAGAAAUUCAUUCAGAAGAUCUUAGAAAGGGGCUUGGCGGUGGAUGACAUUGUCAGGACCGGUGAGCACCUUAGAAGGAAUUUAUGGCGAAAAUCAAAGUCGCUUCAGAAGAGGGCAAACUCGACAAGAGCUGCUCUUUGCGUUUCUGACUCGGCGUUUGAGCAAACAAAUCGGCUUUGUAAUCCAUGGAAGGGACCGUUGCCAAAAGCUAGGAUUUCGCAACAGCUCACGAUUGGAGAUAAGAUUGUUGAGGCUCUAGCUACUAAGUCUAGCGUUUACUCAGAGCCAGCAACAAUUUCAGUCAAAAGCAAUCAAGACAGAGAUGCCGUUUCGGACGGGAAGAAAGUUUUCCUAACGGAGAGGCCGGCGAACCUCGGAAGCACAGCCGGAAAACGAAGUAAAGAAGAUGCUUCGGUGUCUGCGCGUCUUCUUCUCGAGCGCCAUAUCGAGAAAGGAGGAAGGGCGGCGGCAGUAAACUCACGAACAGAGGACUGGGCGCAAUGCUUUUGGUGCGCGUUUCUCUCGUGGAGGCAGCCAACAUCAUCAGGGGGUGGUGGCCUCAAGAAGAACCUUGAUGCACCAGUGACAGGAAAGAAUGGAGGAAGCAACACGGUGUCGGAGAUUGGAAAGAAAGGAGAGAAACAUCAAAGUAAGGAACUAGGAAAGGAUGUUGGAGGAAGCAAAGGUGCAGGGCAAAUCAAAAUCGGUGAGGUGGAGGUUCCUGUGACUUCAAAGGGGAAGAGUGGAGAUUCUCCGGAAUUUAGGGACAGAGAAGGAGAAGUUACGAGGGGAGGAACAAAGGUGAAGGUAUAUGCUAAAUGUACUCAAAAAGGUCAUGUGUUUGCUGAUUGCAAGAUAGAUGUGUAUUGUGACAUUUGUGAUUCAGUCGAGCAUGUCAAUCAUAAGUGCCCGGUACUGAAAUUUGCAAAGCCGGUUGUCCAAGCUGUGGGUUAUGCGGUUGAUGGCCUAGGGUUUCAGCAUAUACCGCAUCAACCGUUACAAAGGAGCAAGAAGGGUACGAAAAAGGCACUAGUGCGAGUGGUGGGUGGUUCACUUACUAUAGAAAAGUUAGUCGCUCUAUUGCACAAAUUGUGUCCAGCAAAAUGGAAAUGGGAGCCAGUGCCGCAAGGGGAGGAAGCUUUUGUGAUUCUUUUCCCUUUGAAAAGUGAGAUGCAGCGAGCCAUCAACUUUGGAGGGGCUGAUGUGAAGGAAGGAGGGAAGGAGAGGGACAAUAAAAGGACCAAGAACAAUGGCAUGGUUGUCGAUGACAACAAAGAAGAUUAUGAAAAGGAGAAAGAUGAGGUGCAGCAAUAUGGUGAGCAAAGGAAAGAGGAUGACAUUGAGGAGAUGGCCGAAAAAAUAGUGGACGUGUUAGUUGAGAGGCUGUUAGGUGAGGUGUAUGAGAGGGUGGAGAGGGAGGAGGAGAUCAUGGAGGGGACAGAUUUGCAGCAGGAAAAGGUGGAACAACUAGCCAACAUUGAAGAGGUUUUGGUGACACCAAAAAGAGCAAGUGAAAGGUUGGUGGGCAGCGGUGGGAGACACUCCCUUGAAAAGGCGAAAACAAGGAAGGCUUGGAUGAAUCUCGACUCUGUUUCAGAUAGACAAGUUGAUUCUUUUAGUGCUUCAGACAAGGAGGAGGAGGAGGAAAGUGUAGAUCAUGUUUUGCUUAAUCAUUUCUGUGGUGACAUUAUGGAU
Molecule: long non-coding RNA, 1869 nt
Filed under: Oryza sativa aus subgroup
Lineage: Eukaryota; Viridiplantae; Streptophyta; Magnoliopsida; Poales; Poaceae
Description: lncRNA OsN22_06G007690
Source: RNAcentral